CAGUCGCCACGGUAAUACAGAGGGUGCGAGCGUUAAUCGGAUUUACUGGGCGUAAAGCGUGCGUAGGCGGCUUCUUAAGUCGGAUGUGAAAUCCCUGAGCUUAACUUAGGAAUUGCAUUAGAUACUGGGAAGCUAGAGUAUGGGAGAGGAUGGUAGAAUUCCAGGUGUAGCGGUGAAAUGCGUAGAGAUCUGGAGGAAUACCGAUGGCGAAGGCAGCCAUCUGGCCUAAUACUGACGCUGAGGUACGAAAGCAUGGGGAGCAAACAGGAUUAGAUACCCCGGUAGUCCCUGUCUCUUAUAA
Molecule: ribosomal RNA, 301 nt
Filed under: uncultured bacterium
Lineage: Bacteria
Description: partial 16S ribosomal RNA
Rfam family: Bacterial small subunit ribosomal RNA
Source: RNAcentral